AGAGUUUGAUCCUGGCUCAGGACGAACGCUGGCGGCGUGCCUAACACAUGCAAGUGGAGCGACGGACCAGGGCUUGCCCUGGGGCCAAGCCGCGAACGGGUGAGUAACACGUGGGUAACCUGCCCCGAUGACCGGGACAACCCGAGGAAACUCGGGCUAAUACCGGAUGUGCUCGCCGCACUCAAGUGCUGCGAGCAAAGGAAGCUUCGGCCUCCGCUUCGGGAGGGGCCCGCGGCCCAUUAGCUUGUUGGUGAGGUAACGGCUCACCAAGGCUGCGAUGGGUAGCUGGUCUGAGAGGACGAUCAGCCACACUGGGACUGAGACACGGCCCAGACUCCUACGGGAGGCAGCAGUGGGGAAUCUUGCGCAAUGCGCGAAAGCGUGACGCAGCCACGCCGCGUGGGGGAAGAAGGCCUUCGGGUUGUAAACCCCUUUCAGGAGGGACGAAGGUGCGGCGGCGAACAGCCGACCGUACUGACGGUACCUCCAGAAGAAGCCCCGGCUAACUACGUGCCAGCAGCCGCGGUA
This 528-nucleotide ribosomal RNA is filed under the name uncultured Actinomycetes bacterium. Its description in RNAcentral is "bacterial SSU rRNA". It matches the Rfam family "Bacterial small subunit ribosomal RNA", at positions 8 to 522 of the family's 1533-position model. The record is from RNAcentral. Lineage: Bacteria; Bacillati; Actinomycetota; Actinomycetes.